ACUGGAGUUUGAUCCUGGCUCAGGAUGAACGCUAGCGGCAGGCUUAACACAUGCAAGUCGAGGGGUAUAGUUCUUCGGAACUAGAGACCGGCGCACGGGUGCGUAACGCGUAUGCAAUCUACCUUUUGCAGAGGGAUAGCCCAGAGAAAUUUGGAUUAAUACCUCAUAGUAUAGCAGUUUCGCAUGAAACCACUAUUAAAGUCACAACGGCAAAAGAUGAGCAUGCGUCCCAUUAGCUAGUUGGUAAGGUAACGGCUUACCAAGGCUACGAUGGGUAGGGGUCCUGAGAGGGAGAUCCCCCGACACUGGUACUGAGACACGGACCAGACUCCUACGGGGAGGCAGCAGUGAGGAAUAUUGGACAAUGGGGCGCAAGCCUGAUCCCAGCCCAUGCCGCGUGCAGGAUGACGGUCCUAUGGA
This 420-nucleotide ribosomal RNA is filed under the name uncultured Flavobacterium sp. RNAcentral's name for it is "bacterial SSU rRNA". It matches the Rfam family "Bacterial small subunit ribosomal RNA", at positions 1 to 422 of the family's 1533-position model. Lineage: Bacteria; Pseudomonadati; Bacteroidota; Flavobacteriia; Flavobacteriales; Flavobacteriaceae. The record is from RNAcentral.